Long non-coding RNA from Heterocephalus glaber (naked mole-rat), 2678 nucleotides. NCBI's taxonomy places the organism in Eukaryota, Metazoa, Chordata, Mammalia, Rodentia, Bathyergidae. The record is from Ensembl.
CCUCGGAGCCCGCUGCGGAGCCCGCUGCUGCCACCUGCGGGCGGAGAGGAAAGGAGGCGCUUCGGGGAGCUGCGCGGCCGGCGGGCGCCUUCCCCGCUCCUCGCCUAGAGGUGAAUGAAGGCCGAGGAGGCCGCGUCAGGCGGACAGCUUGCCAUUGCCCGGGCAAAUGGGCUUGGGCCCUACUGAGAAAAGGGCUUUUGUGCGGGACAGUUUGUGCUGGGUCCACAGUAAGGAUCCCCAGGGAUUGCUUUUUUAAAAAAUAAAGAUUAUGAUGUAUCUGAAUGGCUAAAGAGAAGAGAUCGAAUGGGGCCCGAGGACUGUUCUGCAGAAGUCUCGGCAGAAUUCGCAGAAAUGGUUUAGCCCACGAAAGCCGAAACAGGAUUUGACUUGCUAAAUGUAUGAAUGUGGAUGUUUUAUUACUGUUCUGGGAGUGUCUUUUUAAAUCUUCCCAUCUGUAAAUGAACCUUUCUUCUAAAAAGUGCUUUCAACCUUUAAUGAAAUUCCAGGAGCCAAUGUGUGCCCUGUGUUGCCCACUCAAGGCUUGACAGGCACGAGGUACUCUACAGUCUCGGGUGACAUGGAAGCCAGAGGUAUCCAGUAGCAAGUGUUUCUUGCAGUUAUUAUUCUGCCUUUACACACAGAUUAGGUGUCCUAUAACUCCUUGAUGGUAAGUACUGCACUUUCCCAAACAAAUAAAGCUGUACUCUGUGCUAGCGCUGAAUAUUGAAAUAGAUGUUGUCGUAUUGUGAGGCGCAUUCUAUUACAUUUUUAAAUUGACAGCAAUAGUGCACUUGUGUGGAUCUACCCGUAAUCCCAAAGUGGUUUCCUUCCAUCAGCAACUGCCUCGGUAAUGUCUGUGCGUGCGGGUAAAAGGAAAACAUAAAACUAUCUGCAGCUGACUGCGUCACUCCCUCAUCUGUAGCCCAUGGGCCAAGUCCUUCCAGUACUUACCAUCCUUCUUGUAAGCGCUUGGGACUCUGUUUUCUUGACCUAGGAGGUGCUUGACUGGAAAGUGAAAUUGUAGUCCUGAGACAAACCGAGUACUAGAUGGGAAAUAGUGAAUAAAGACUCCAGGUUCUUCAGCCUACAGAUGGACACUCCGGGAUGUGCUGUGUUCUACACCAUUAGCAUCCCCAUGGUGAUGGAGCCCCACUUGUCCAUAGUGGUGACCUGCACAUUCAUGGAAUCUGGACGGGUUGUCUACCCUUCCUUGCUUAUUCCCUGUUCCGUUUCCCUGGGAUCACCUUCAUAAUUAACUACUGUGCUGAAAUUGCACCAGGGCCUGCCUCCUGAAAAUCCCACCCUGAAGCAAUCUCCAAGGGCCUUUAUUCUUGAUGGGUCACCUGCCCAGUGUUCUCGGAAGAGUGAACCAUAAAUGUUAUCAACGUUGAACAUGUACUGUGUGCACCUACUAUCUUACUGCAAAAUUUACCUCUCAUUCAUUCAUCACAGCAAACCCAUGAGAUAGCACGAUGCCUCACACGGUGACUAAAAGAGAAAUGGAGUGUUUUGACCGGAAGCAUACAUGUUCUCAGUGGCAGAAUUAACUUUGAAGGCACCUCUGUGGGACACCAACAUGCUUCCAAGCCACUGUGUCAUCCUCCCUUAUGGCGAUGUCACUAUACUUCUCAUUAUUUGGGAAUUUUAUCGAAGAAUAAUGACAGAAAUAUUACAAGGAAAAGCCACAUGUAUUUUGUUGCCUCUAAAUUCACAUCACAGCCUUUAAAUACAGUGUGGCUAAUGCCUGACUCAAAGAAAGUCACCCUAGUUAGAGACACAGCCUGAAAUUCCACUCCUUAAGGAGGCUGUGCCCUUCUUGUUCCAUUUCCUGUGUCCCUGGAACCGAGUGCGUUAGUGAAAGAAGCAUUAAUCACAACCCAGAGACGCGCGGCUGGUUCAGAGAAGUGCAUGGAUGGGAGAGAUGUCUCAAAUUGGAAUGUCGAUUGCAUUUUUAUUCAGAAAGAAGGUCAUAAACUAUUCAGCUCUAAGGACAACUCAGGGCCUGAAGUCGGUGCGUAGACACUGAGCGAAUGCCAGUCUGCCAACACUGGCUUCAGCUGGAGCCAAAGCCCAAGGCUGGAGCUGAGACCCUGAGUGGUUUCCCUCUCAGUUCUACUCUGUCCCCUCCAUAACCGUGUGAAAUAAGGACAGCAGUUACCUUACAACCACAAAGCCAGCUCUCCUUGUUUGCAUGAUAAUAGCUAUUAGGAAAAUAAAAGUAUUUUUAAAUGUUGAGAGUAAAUAAAAAGAAAAUAAUCAUUCAGUACUUCUGUCCAGAAAUAAUUUCCAACAUUUUUGCACAAAUUGGUUUUUACACAAACAGGAUAUUUUGCAUAAUUUAACUUUCUUUUAACUUAACGUUGUACCAGGAACAUAUAUCCAGAUCGUUAAUUAUGAAACUCAAGGACUCUGCAGACAAUUUAGUUUCCUAAUCCACACUCUGCUAUUUACCAAUCAUGUAAUCUUAGAGAAAUGUGCCUUUUAUUCUUACCUAUAAAAUGGGAGCAAUAAUAAUACAUGUAUUUUGUAGGGUCAUUGUAAAUGUUAACAUAUGCAAAGCUUUCAGAACAGUGCAUAUAAACUUAAUUACUCCUUUAAGAUUAUUAUCAUUAUUCUGCAUACCAUAGAGCUUCAAUAUCUUACAAAAUACCAACUAUCCCAAUUAUAAUAGACCCUUG